Molecule: long non-coding RNA, 6860 nt
Filed under: Olea europaea subsp. europaea
Lineage: Eukaryota; Viridiplantae; Streptophyta; Magnoliopsida; Lamiales; Oleaceae
Source: RNAcentral
GCUCGAUUUUGAUCUCCAUGUUUUUUUCUGUCCAGAAAAUCUAUAUCCCUUCCACUAAAAUGGUAUGCCAUUGGACAGUGCUGGCGCUAUGAACGAAUGACCAGGGGACGCCGUCGUGAACACUACCAGUGGAACAUGGAUAUUAUUGGCGUACCUGAUGUUGCAGUAUGUUGACUCUACAUUGCUUGAGACCUGUUCUGUGUUUACCUUCAUUACAUGCUAACGAUCUUUGUGCUUGUUUGAGCCCAUUCUUUGGAAAAAAAUGCAUUCUUAAACAGUGUUUUGAUAUCAUUUCAACUACAUAUUCUUUAAUAAAAUAAUAUUACACGCAAAUCAAAAUUUUUUUCUUAUUAUUUAACUACACAUUUCAGAUCAAUACACUAUUCAAAAAUGCAUUUCAAACGCGUCUGUAUAGUAACAAUCACUGAUUUCUGUUUCUUUUAUAUUUUUCCCAAAGAACAGCUUAGUUACUCAAACCUGGAUUUUCGUUUAAUCUAUGAUUCGGAUAGAAUCAUAGGGUGAAGGAGAGGGGGGGGGGGUGGGGGGGUGGUGGGCUUAUAAUUAAAUCUGAUACUAUACUUUUAUAGAUUAUUGUAACAUAAAUUGAGACAUAUGUUGACCUGACCAUGAGCUUUAAAGUUGAGUUGAUGUUGAGCUCUAUUUGAUUCCGCUGGAUUUAAGAUCAAGAGAUUCCAAAAUAGUAGUUGUCAAGAUUCUAGACCGAGAAGCAGUUCUCUUUUCAAUUUCCUUCCUCGUGCAAAGCAAGACUUACUGAGCCGAAUUUUCCAAUUCCAAGUUCCAUCUGCUUCCUCCUGUUUCCCAUUUGUCUUCCAGUAACAAGCAUGAUGUUAAUUUCCCUCUCUGUGCUGUACUCUAAUGUGGUUUAGUAGAACUCCUUACACGUUUGGCAUGACUUUUCCUUUUGCUCUAUUUGAUAAAAUUUUGAUUCGUAGACUGGAAAUUCAGUAGCCAUGUCUUUGAUUAAUACCACUUUUUCCUUCCUUUUAAGGGUGAAGGUGGGGGUGUUUGCCGGGGAUAAUUUUGUGGAAAUGGCUGGUGAGCUACCAUAUUUUGCUUAGGGAUGGGGAACAACAUACUCCCCUAGUUAUCAAAAGCAAAGAAAAGUAUGCCACAUGGUUUAAAAAGGUAGUUGUCAAGGUGCGCCUCAAAUUCUGGCGUAAGGUUUGUGCCUCAAGGCGCAAGUUUUUAUGCUACUAUAUUGAGGCACACACCUUAGAUUAAUGAGCACAUGCCUCAAGGCGCAUGAGGCAUGUGCCUCCAUAUUAUUGUUAAAAGUAAAAGAAACAUCAGAUCCUAAGUGGACCCAACAAUUACGUUAACUUGUUUAUCCUAAACUAAUUUAAUAUUACAUCACUCACUAGACAAACAAAAACAAAAAGCUUUUGCAUCCUGCUCCAGGCGUCUACCCGAACAGAAACUACCUUUCUGACAAUAAUCUGGCAGCCAUCCAAGUGUACAAAUUCUUUCAGUUUGCACAUAUUUUAUUUUUGAAAUUCUUCUCUUUGCUUUUAUUUAGAUAACAAUUUACCAACUGCAAUUUUUCUUUGACCUUGGCAUCCUCGGGAACUUCUGAACUUUUUUCAACUACAAUGGGAUUAUUGAUUAUUUUCUACCUAAUUAAUUUAUUUGAUGUUUGUUUUAUUGAGAAUUUUGAAAAUUGUUUAUGAUUAAUUUUUUAUUUUUUAAUUAUUUUUUUAAAUCUUUCGACUGAAUUUUUUGGUUUUCUGCAUUUUGGUUUUGUGUGGGGUUUGGAUUUUUAAUUUGUAUUAUUUGAUUUUUUUUAUUUUUUAUUAUUAUUUCUUUUUUUGGGUAUGGUGAGGCUUACACCUCAAACAGCUUCGAGGCUUGCAUGUUGGUUCACGAAGAAAAACACAUUGAAUAUGGUAUGAGGUUGCAUAAGUUUUGGAUCUGACAUGUGGAUCUUAUAACGCAUAGACAUACCCUUUGGGCUGAUAUGGAUUAUCAUUUUACAGUUUCUGAUGUACUUAAAAUGAGCAAGUUUAAAUUUAUUUUUCACGAACAAAAACACAUUGAAUAUAGUAUGAGGUUGCAUAAGUUUUGGAUCCGACAUGUGGAUCUUAUAAUGCAUAGACAUACCCUUUGGGCUGAUAUGGAUUAUCAUUUUACAGUUUCGGUUGUACUUAAAAUGAGUAAGUUUAAAUUUAUUUGUAUAACUGAAGCCAUUUUCUUUGUUCACAUUGCCAUAAAUCCUAAAUAUUGCUACUGCUAAAUUUCCAUUAAUGACACGAGAUACCUGAAAUUUUUCACAUUUUGUUUUGAACAAUUGUGCUGUCAGAUUUACCUUGUUAAGCAUUACUUCUUUUCUGUGAUUCAUAGGCUGAAGCAGAGCUGAUUUCUUCAAUUGUCACCUUUUUCAAACGCAUUGGGAUCACUGCAUCAGAUGUUGGAUUUAAAGUGUCUAGCCGAAAGGUGUGAAAGUCAGACACAUUUUCAUUUUCUAAAUGCAUUUUUUAAAUUAAUAUCACCUUCUUGGAAUGUGUUUGCCUUUUGUUUAUAAAGUACUAAGGCCUAUGGAGAGUCCAUUUUGUUGAACACUACAUGUUUUCUGACUUGUGCAUUUCAGGGCAAAUCAUUAGCUUGUAUUCAUGUUUUUAGGCACUCUGGAAAUUGAUCUAGAGAUCCUUAAUAUGCGCUUGUUUUCAAUAUCAGUAUGAUUUCAACAAUCCCCAUGAUAUAUUCUCUUUUGCUUCACCUCAACUUCCGGUUCACAUAUGAAGUUCAUUCAAAAUCUUUCCACUUCAUAUGAUCACUUGUUGUUUUUUUAUUGAGCAGUACUAUGCAUACUUCUGCUAUCUGGAGAAUUGACAAGUCAUCUUCUUUUGUCACAGGUUUUGCAAGAAGUUUUGAGACGCUACUCUGUUCCAGAAAGUUUGUUUGGCAGGGUUUGCAUAAUUAUAGACAAGGUUAGCUUUAUGAUUCAACAUUGAAUAUGUUUUCUCCUCAUCUUCCUGAGGCAAGGUCUGUCACAUUAUCAUAAAUUUGGACUCGACUAGCCAAAGAGUUGAGGGGGGGAAAUAAAAGAAACCGACAUGGUGAUCUCAAAUUACUUCUCUUCCUAUAUUCUAUCCUAUUUUCUUUAUCAGAUCCGGUGUCGUGAACGUAACAUGCCAUCAUUAGAUAUGUUUUUCCCGCAUUCACAAAGGCAAAACUUGAAAAAGGCACAGAGCUUUAUGACCGUUGUUGGUAUGAGAGUUCCCUGUGUAUCAAAUUGAAAGUCGGUUUUCCUUUUCAAUGCUUGGAGAAACUUAAAAGCCAUCUAUGAAUUCCGCUCGAUGGAAAAAUGAGUUACCAUAGGAUAGUUCAGGAAAGACUUCUCUGGCAGCAUUUCAUAUGAGUGGAAGUUAAUUUAUUAAUGCCUAUUCAUUACUGUAAUUCCUCUCUCUCUCUCUCUUUUAUUGGGGGAUUUUGGUGCUUGGGUGAUUUGAAAUAUACAUUAUCUGAGGGGGCAGCAUGCACUGUAAUUUACUUCAUAAAUACGCAGAAGGAUAUGGAGACCUUUGUCCCAGGAAUUGUAACCCUUUUAUAUUUCUCGUCAUCUUUUCAACGGGGUAGCAAUGAUAUAUGUCAAUGGGAUUCAGCAAAGGCGUGAUGAGUCAAAUUUACUGUAAGCUAUAUAAAUGUAUCAGUUAUUGAUCUGUUUUAAGUUGUACAGCUUUAUUGAUUUACCAUUAGUACGCUCAAUUUGAGAAACUGAAUAUGGGUGCUUUGCUGUUCAUGCCUCUCUCACAGACGCGUUGUAAAGUUUUUCUAAUUGUUUUGUAUAGUUUGCAUUACUGUUCUGCUAUUUUUUAUUUAAUCAUUUCUCUCCUUUUUUUCCCAACAGAUGGAAAAGAUUCCAAUAGAUGAAAUCAAGAAAGAAUUGAAGUCUGCUGAGUUAUCAGAGGAGGCUAUUGAUGAGCUUUUGGAAAUUCUUUCUAUGAAGUCUUUGGCGAUGUUGGAAGGUUGGUCUUACUGUUUCUCAAGUUAUAACUUCAUUUUCAUCAUUUUUCUUUUCAGUUUUGGAAGUUUGGGACCGUGGAAUCAAUUUUGCCUAUCUUUUUCCUUAAUUUUCUGUGUCUAUUUCUGUCUCUGGCAUGUGAAUUAGGAUCUCGCAUGCAAAGUCAACACCACUAAUAGGGCCGGGCCACCAGGCUAGUGCCAGAAUUUGUCUUAACUAUUUUAGAAUUAAGCAACAUGCUCCUUAAAUGAAAAUUUGGAGACCUUAAGACUAGAAAAAUUGAUUGGGGAAUGCAACUGCAAAUUGUCAUAAUGUUAAAUUGCUUCAUAUUCUUCUGUCAUGUGUUUAAUAGUUACUUGAGGCCAGUUGAGAAAAGGUUAUGUCAGCAAGAGUGUUAAUUUUGAAUCAAUUAUUAUUUAUUAUCUUGUUAUAUUAACAAUUGUGGUGCGUUUUGCUUUUGUUGUAGAGAAACUUGGGGAUUCCGUGGAAGCACUUGCUGACUUAAAGCAACUAUUUUUGCUUGCUGAAAAGUAUGGUUACUCUGAGUGGAUUCAGUUUGAUGCAUCCAUUGUCCGUGGCCUUGCUUAUUAUACUGGAAUCGUAUUUGAGGUAAAAUUUAUAAAGCAUUUUUCCCCAUUUUCUUUCUGAACCUUAAGGGUCCCAUGUCGUCGGCUGGUUUCUUAAUUGUGUGAUUCAAAUAUAAUUGUGUAAUCAAUUAGUCAGCAAGAUUCAUAAAAUCUCUUUUUCGUUUAUUGUCGCUGUUGAUGACCUGAUACAGAAAGUGUACAAACUACAAUUAGAGCAGUUCCAAUGCUCAUGGAUUGCAAUCUAGGUGAUAUCUAAAUAGAAAGUCUUCCAGUCUAUUUGGCAUUAAUGUCUAAUGAAUAGACGGCCUAGUCAUCUAUUAUGUAUAUAUUUAAUAGGGUAGAGAGAGAAUAAUAAAAAGGAUGGAAAAUAUAAGAUGAGAUUUGUUGGGGCGGGGGGGCGGGGGGGAGGGGGGAUUGAAUUAUGGUGACUUACUCUAUCUCUACUUUUCUCUUGCUACGUCAACUAGACAUAGUCAGAGACAUGCUGUAUUAGAGAGGAACUUCUAUAUACAUUUACUUUCUGUAGAAAAGAAAAGAACCAUGCCCUACCUAACCAGAACUGGUCGGUCCUGAUCUGGUUCAGUUCCAUCGCUAGCCAUAGAACUGUUUGGUUCCCGAUUUGGUCUGGUACCAGUCACCAGACUAUGCGCACUCCUAGCCUACACUUAUGAAUUAACUAAGAAAUUGGAUAAUAAAUUUAUCAGGAUAGCAUUUUCACUCAACCUGUUUCUGGCUGGCUACAAUCAUUCUCAUAUGAGUAGGUUAUUCUCUAUCUCAUUAUCUUAUUGUAUUUCCUUCUUCAGGGAUUUGAUCGAGAAGGAAAACUACGAGCCAUUUGUGGAGGUGGGCGAUAUGACAGGUUACUUUCGACUUUUGGAGGCGAUGAUAUUCCAGCCUGUGGCUUUGGAUUUGGUGAUGCAGUUAUAGUAGAAGUGAGUCGAGUUUCUCUUAAAUUUUUGGCUUGGGUGUUUGCUUAAAAGUUCUUCCUUUUUCUUUUCUUUUUUUUUUUUAAAUUGAAAAAUAAGGAGUGAUUACUUUUACGUACUGAACAUGGUGAAUGCUGAAAUUUUUUCUGCCAAACUGUUUGGUUAGGCACUAAAUUUUAUCAAAUAUUUGAUGAUAAAAUUGAAUGAGUUGGAAGUGAGCCAAAUCGGGAAAUAUAUACAUAAUUUACUUGCUUAUAUUUUUUAUCAAUUGUGAAUAAUGUAUAUUAUGUAAACAGUUGUCAAUCAUUUGGAGUUGAUAGAAUAAAUUAUAUUUUUUCCUAAAACUAAUUUGAGUUACUGAUCUACUCAGCUUGCUCUAUGCAGUAACAUUUUAUAUGUUCUCGUGAAUUUGAUAAUGUAUCACAUAAACAAUAAAUGUGUAUAUUGAUCCACACUGUUACUGCUACUCUAUGGAACGUUGCUUUAAUUCCAUCUGCCAAAAGCAAUAUUUUCAGAAUGCCAACCUAAGUGAAUGGAAGUGAUUUAACUGUGAUGAACUCCAGGAUCAUCAUAGUAUAUAAAUUCGAAUAUAACUGCUCCAACCAUGUUAGACAGUAAAUAUUCUUGUUCAAUUGUUUUUGCUACUUUACUCUGUUCGGUGAUUAUGCAGCUUCUCAAAGAGAGAGGACUUCUACCGGAACUUGGUCCCCAGGUAGAGAACAUUGUCUGCUCAUUGGAUCAGGAUCUCCAGGGUGCAGCUUCUGCAGUUGCUGCUAAACUCAGGGGAAAAGGACAAAGUGUUGACUUGGUUCUGGAAAAUAAACCCCUCAAAUGGUAUGAGAUUUGAGAUUUCAUGAUACCCGUAGAAAAGUUAAUUUUUUUAAAAAGUCACAAUAUCUUGUGUUCCGUAUCCUUUGUUUCUUGUACCAUACCAAAAUAUGAACAUUCACCACUUUUUUUUAACGGUUUAUAAUCUUCAGGGUGUUUAAAAGGGCAGCACGAAUAAAUGCUUGCAGGCUGAUAUUAGUGGGUAGCGCGGAGUGGCAAAAGGGCAUGGUUCGAGUCAAAAUUCUUUCGUCGGGCGAGCAAUAUGAGAUUAAAGUUAAUGAGCUAGAAUAGCAAGGUUAAAUUAUUAUGCACAUGCAUGUACCUUUUACAUUUAUCUUGGCAUAUAAGACCAAUUCCAUUUUUAUUAUUGGUUUCUAAAUUUUCAAUUUUUCAGAUCUUAUUGUAGCAUACGGGGAACUUCAUAUCUGUAACAACAUACCAUCUAGAAUUUGAAUAAAAAUUAAGUGUAUUGUUUGGUUCUGAGUUUAUCUUUUGGUUGAUUAAGUGGAGAGUAAUGUGAUAGUUUUAUUAUGCUGGAAA